UGUUUCGGCAAGGGGGUCAUCCCGACUUACCAACCCGAUGCAAACUGCGAAUACCGGAGAAUGUUAUCACGGGAGACACACGGCGGGUGCUAACGUCCGUCGUGAAGAGGGAAACAACCCAGACCGCCAGCUAAGGUCCCAAAGUCAUGGUUAAGUGGGAAACGAUGUGGGAAGGCCCAGACAGCCAGGAUGUUGGCUUAGAAGCAGCCAUCAUUUAAAGAAAGCGUAAUAGCUCACUGGUCGAGUCGGCCUGCGCGGAAGAUGUAACGGGGCUAAACCAUGCACCGAAGCUGCGGCAGCGACGCUUAUGCGUUGUUGGGUAGGGGAGCGUUCUGUAAGCCUGUGAAGGUGUGCUGUGAGGCAUGCUGGAGGUAUCAGAAGUGCGAAUGCUGACAUAAGUAACGAUAAAGCGGGUGAAAAGCCCGCUCGCCGGAAGACCAAGGGUUCCUGUCCAACGUUAAUCGGGGCAGGGUGAGUCGACCCCUAAGGCGAGGCCGAAAGGCGUAGUCGAUGGGAAACAGGUUAAUAUUCCUGUACUUGGUGUUACUGCGAAGGGGGGACGGAGAAGGCUAUGUUGGCCGGGCGACGGUUGUCCCGGUUUAAGCGUGUAGGCUGGUUUUCCAGGCAAAUCCGGAAAAUCAAGGCUGAGGCGUGAUGACGAGGCACUACGGUGCUGAAGCAACAAAUGCCCUGCUUCCAGGAAAAGCCUCUAAGCAUCAGGUAACAUCAAAUCGUACCCCAAACCGACACAGGUGGUCAGGUAGAGA
RNAcentral lists this ribosomal RNA (767 nucleotides) under Escherichia coli. RNAcentral describes it as "partial 23S ribosomal RNA". It matches the Rfam family "Bacterial large subunit ribosomal RNA", at positions 911 to 1677 of the family's 2925-position model. The record is from RNAcentral. Lineage: Bacteria; Pseudomonadati; Pseudomonadota; Gammaproteobacteria; Enterobacterales; Enterobacteriaceae.